This 460-nucleotide ribosomal RNA is filed under the name uncultured bacterium. RNAcentral describes it as "partial 16S ribosomal RNA". It matches the Rfam family "Bacterial small subunit ribosomal RNA", at positions 338 to 795 of the family's 1533-position model. The record is from RNAcentral.
CCUACGGGAGGCAGCAGUGAGGAAUAUUGGUCAAUGGACGAGAGUCUGAACCAGCCAAGUAGCGUGAAGGAUGACUGCCCUAUGGGUUGUAAACUUCUUUUAUAUGGGAAUAAAAUGUUCCACGUGUGGGAUUUUGCAUGUACCAGAUGAAUAAGCAUCGGCUAACUCCGUGCCAGCAGCCGCGGUAAUACGGAGGAUGCGAGCGUUAUCCGGAUUUAUUGGGUUUAAAGGGAGCGUAGGUGGGUUGUUAAGUCAGUUGUGAAAGUUUGCGGCUCAACCGUAAAAUUGCAGUUGAAACUGGCAGUCUUGAGUGCAGGAGAGGUGGGCGGAAUUCGUGGUGUAGCGGUGAAAUGCUUAGAUAUCACGAAGAACUCCGAUUGCGAAGGCAGCUCACUGGACUGCAACUGACACUGAGGCUCGAAAGUGUGGGUAUCGAACAGGAUUAGAUACCCCAGUAGUC